Saccostrea cuccullata (small rock oyster) is the source of this 1302-nucleotide long non-coding RNA. RefSeq lists it as uncharacterized. The transcript has 3 exons. Lineage: Eukaryota; Metazoa; Mollusca; Bivalvia; Ostreida; Ostreidae. The record is from RefSeq and is a predicted model, not a curated record.
CAGAUUGAGCAGUUAAUAUACAGUUGAUAUAAGUAGAUUUGAAAAUUCCAAUUAGAAAAAUAAUAAAUCUACUGCAGUUGGGUUAUCAUCUUUUCGGCCUUUUAGUGAACACUAGGUCAAAGUCAAUUCGGCCUUUUAGUCCACACUUUGUCAAAAUCAAAUGAGCGCUUUGUAAGAAGACCACCGUCAUGAUGAUGGAAGUAAGAAGUUUUAAAACUAAACUUUAUUUUAACAAGGGUUAAUUCACGCAGGUUUUUAAAUCAGUUUGAUUGAUUUAGCGUGUGUGAAUUACUCCAUUAACAUCAUCCCCAAAAGUUCCAUUGGAAUUCUGCUGUCAGUGUCUGAAGAAAUGAAUAUGUGUACGAGACUGGAGUGAUAUGAUGAAGAUACCCAACAUAAUGAUUAAAAGAUAAAGAGAAUAAAUCAGAUUGGUGAUCAAUAUCCAAAAGACAGGAUGGUGGAUCUAAAGUUUUUUAAAAAAGAAGAAUUGCUGUCCAUCCAAGUGUUUACAGAAGAUUCCCACUAAUGCAGUUUUUUUCCAUCAGGAAGCAGUUUUGGAAACUGGUCAUUACUCAACAGAAUCAGGAGAUUUCAGUAUUGUAUGCAAACAAAGAUAAGACAGUGUCACUCGCACAAAUUUAAGUCCCCUUUCGGUUGAUUGUACUUUUUCUUAACAAAUAAAAAUCAGUAUCUCAAACACUCCUCUUCUCUUGGCAAGUCAUUUGGUUGAGUUUUCUCUGGCAAUAGGAUUUGUUUAUGACCCUCACUUUAAUUAAAAUGGCUCUACAAAAGCAGUUAAACAAUGGAUAUAUAGCAGUCAAUUUUGCAUUGUUAUGCCUCUAGAUCUGCCUCAUAAAAAAUAAUUUGAAUUUGUAUAUGAUUGAAGAUAAAAUGCUUCAUAAAGUAUAUUCAGACAUUGCAUUCUUAUCCCAUUAUUCCCAUAUCUGCUUAUUUAUUUAUCCCAUGGGAUUAAAAAUACCCAGUAUUAUGUACUUUGCAGGAUUUUUAAUCCUAAGAAGGGCAAAUAUGGGAUUUUUAAUCCUAUGUCGCCUAUUAUGGGAGAAAAAAUCCCAUGGGAGAAAAAAUCCCUCAAAGAUUUUUUUCUCCCAUGGGAUUUUGGUGGGAUUUUUGGUGGGAUGAAAAAUCCCGCCAUUCUCCCAUGGGAUUUUAGGUUUUGACAGAGGUUUAUGAGAAAACUACUACAAUGUGGAAGUUGAGAUUGACAUGAUGAGGUCAGAAUAAAAAAUCCCACCAAAAUAUAGAAAAAAAUCUAAUGUAGGUCUUUUCGAAAGGGUACCUAAA